GAUGAACGCUGGCGGCGUGCCUAAUACAUGCAAGUCGAGCGAACAGAUGAGGAGCUUUCUCCUCUGACGUUAGCGGCGGACGGGUGAGUAACACGUGGAUAACCUACCUAUAAGACUGGGAUAACUUCGGGAAAAUGGAGAUAAUACCGGAUAAUAUAUUGAACCGCAUGGUUCACUAGUGAGAUACGGUUUUGGUGUCACUUAUAGACGGAUCCGCGCCUCAUUAGCUAGUUGUUAAGGUAACGGCUUACCAAGGCUAUGAUGCGUAGCCGACCUGAGAGGGUGUACGCCCCCACUGGAACUGAGACUCGGUCCAGACUCCUACGGGAGGCAGCAUUAGGGAAUCUUCCGCAAUGGGCGAAAGCCUGACGGAGCCACGCCGCGUGAGUGAUGAAGGUCCUCUGAUCGUAAAACUCUGUUAUUAGGUAAGAACAAAUGUGUAAGUAACUAUGCACGUCUUGCCGGUACCUAAUCAGAAAGCCACGGCUAACUACGUG
RNAcentral lists this ribosomal RNA (497 nucleotides) under uncultured bacterium. RNAcentral's name for it is "partial 16S ribosomal RNA". It matches the Rfam family "Bacterial small subunit ribosomal RNA", at positions 28 to 507 of the family's 1533-position model. The record is from RNAcentral.